GAUGAACGCUAGCGGCAGGCUUAACACAUGCAAGUCGAGGGGUAACAGGAGUGCUUGCACUCGCUGACGACCGGCGCACGGGUGCGUAACGCGUAUAGAACUUACCUUUUACAGAGGGAUAGCCUUUAGAAAUGAAGAUUAAUACCUCAUAGUAUUGAGACUCGGCAUCGAGUCUCACUUAAAGAUUUAUCGGUAAAAGAUGGCUAUGCGUCCUAUUAGUUAGUUGGUAAGGUAACGGCUUACCAAGGCAGCGAUAGGUAGGGGUCCUGAGAGGGAGAUCCCCCACACUGGUACUGAGACACGGACCAGACUCCUACGGGAGGCAGCAGUGAGGAAUAUUGGGCAAUGGAGGCAACUCUGACCCAGCCAUGCCGCGUGCAGGAAGACUGCCCUAUGGGUUGUAAACUGCUUUUAUACAGGAAGAAACACUGCUACGUGUAGCAGCUUGACGGUACUGUAAGAAUAAGGACCGGCUAACUCCGUG
This 484-nucleotide ribosomal RNA is filed under the name uncultured bacterium. RNAcentral describes it as "bacterial SSU rRNA". It matches the Rfam family "Bacterial small subunit ribosomal RNA", at positions 28 to 507 of the family's 1533-position model. The record is from RNAcentral.